This 857-nucleotide ribosomal RNA is filed under the name uncultured Gammaproteobacteria bacterium. RNAcentral describes it as "bacterial SSU rRNA". It matches the Rfam family "Bacterial small subunit ribosomal RNA", at positions 68 to 917 of the family's 1533-position model. Lineage: Bacteria; Pseudomonadati; Pseudomonadota; Gammaproteobacteria. The record is from RNAcentral.
GGGGAAGGUUGCUUCGGUAACUGACCUAGCGGCGGACGGGUGAGUAAUACUUAGGAAUCUGCCUAUUAAUGGGGGACAACAUCUCGAAAGGGAUGCUAAUACCGCAUACGCCCUACGGGGGAAAGCAGGGGAUCACUUGUGACCUUGCGUUAAUAGAUGAGCCUAAGUCGGAUUAGCUAGUUGGUGGGGUAAAGGCCUACCAAGGCGACGAUCUGUAGCGGGUCUGAGAGGAUGAUCCGCCACACUGGGACUGAGACACGGCCCAGACUCCUACGGGAGGCAGAGUGGGGAAUAUUGGACAAUGGGGGGAACCCUGAUCCAGCCAUGCCGCGUGUGUGAAGAAGGCCUUAUGGUUGCAAAGCACUUUAAGCGAGGAGGAGGCUCUUUUGGUUAAUACCCAAGAUGAGUGGACGUUACUCGCAGAAUAAGCACCGGCUAACUCUGUGCCAGCAGCCGCGGUAAUACAGAGGGUGCGAGCGUUAAUCGGAUUUACUGGGCGCAAAGCGUGCGUAGGCGGCUUUUUAAGUCGGAUGUGAAAUCCCCCAGCUUAACUUGGGAAUUGCAUUCGAUACUGGGAAGCUAGAGUAUGGGAGAGGAUGGUAGAAUUCCAGGUGUAUCGGUGAAAUGCCUACAGAAUCUGGAUGAAUACUGAUGGCCAAUGCAGCCAUCUGGACUAAUACUGACACUGAGGUACAAAACGCAUGGGAGGCAACAGGUAUAGAUACCCUGGUAGUACAUGCAGUAGACGAUGUCUACUACCCGUUGAGGUCUUUGACACUUUACUGACGCAUCUUACGCGAUAAGUAUACCGCUUGCGGAGUACGGUCGCAUGACUAAAUCUCAUAUGAAUUGACGGG